RNAcentral lists this ribosomal RNA (255 nucleotides) under uncultured bacterium. RNAcentral describes it as "partial 16S ribosomal RNA". It matches the Rfam family "Bacterial small subunit ribosomal RNA", at positions 1247 to 1500 of the family's 1533-position model. The record is from RNAcentral.
AAGCGACCACGUGAGUGUAAGCGAAUCCCAAAAAUAACGUCUCAGUUCGGAUUGUAGUCUGCAACUCGACUACAUGAAGCUGGAAUCGCUAGUAAUCGCGAAUCAGAUGUCGCGGUGAAUACGUUCCCGGGUCUUGUACACACCGCCCGUCACACCAUGGGAGUCAGUAACGCCCGAAGCCGGUGACCCAACCAGUUCAGGAGGGAGCCGUCGAAGGUGGGACCGAUAACUGGGGUGAAGUCGUAACAAGGUACC